Molecule: non-coding RNA, 74 nt
Organism: Ciona savignyi (Pacific transparent sea squirt)
Lineage: Eukaryota; Metazoa; Chordata; Ascidiacea; Phlebobranchia; Cionidae
Source: Rfam
GUCUCUGUGGCGCAAUUGGUUAGCGCGUUCGGCUGUUAACCGAAAGGUUGCUGGUUCAAGCCCAGCCAAGGACG